GACGAACGCUGGCGGCGUGCUUAACACAUGCAAGUCGAACGCUGAAGCCCUUUCGGGGGUGGAUGAGUGGCGAACGGGUGAGUAACACGUGGGUAAUCUGCCCUGCACUCUGGGAUAAGCCUUGGAAACGGGGUCUAAUACCGGAUAGGACACAUCGCCGCAUGGUGUGUGUGUGGAAAUUUCUGGCGGUGCAGGUUGAGCCCGCGGCCUAUCAGCUUGUUGGUGGGGUGAUGGCCUACCAAGGCGACGACGGGUAGCCGGCCUGGGAGGGUGACCGGCCACACUGGGACUGAGACACGGCCCAGACUCCUACGGGAGGCAGCAGUGGGGAAUCUUGCGCAAUGGGCGAAAGCCUGACGCAGCAACGCCGCGUGGGGGAUGACGGCCUUCGGGUUGUAAACCUCUUUCGACCGGGACGAAGGGUGACUGACGGUACCGGUAGAAGAAGCACCGGCUAACUACGUGCCAGCCGCCGCGGUAA
Molecule: ribosomal RNA, 481 nt
Filed under: uncultured bacterium
Lineage: Bacteria
Description: partial 16S ribosomal RNA
Rfam family: Bacterial small subunit ribosomal RNA
Source: RNAcentral